CCCUAGCCAUUUACCAACAUCCUGCUUUCAAGGAUGUAAUAAUGUGGACGUGUUGUUGAGUUGAGUGUCUUUACCUCUAGGGCAACAUGGCAGGUAUAAUGGGUGUCACUAUAUUUAUAUAAUUUGUUUCGGUAGCCGUCGCUCUUGGUAAGUCAAUAUUUUACAUUUUCUUCGUGAAACCUGUUUACUUGGAGAAUAAUUUACCUAAACUGGAUGGAGGGCUCAUUGUAUAUGCAAAUUAUGCAACAAUUGAGGUUAGUGUCAUACCGUAAAAAUAAAACAUGCCUAGGAAAUACCUGUUUAACACAAUACAGGACGUGGUUUCAGGUCAAGUUAUAUAGGUUUAUUUUUGUAUAAUACAUACAAGCAGCUAAAAAGUAUUCUAUAAAAAGGUCUGAAUUUAAUCCAGGGUUUUCUAAGGUCAUAGGGCAUUAGGUUACUAAUGAAGAACGUUCCAGUGAAACCUAAAAGGCCAGGGGCAUGCCUCCAAGCAAAUAUGAGUUUGGAAUGAGUUGAAUCUGUAGUAGUCUGUUAAUAUAAUGGCACCAUCUGGGUUAUUUACAUCUACCAUUUUAGAUAUUGCAAAAUGUAGUAUUACAUACAUAAUAUGCAAAUCAUGUGAAGUCUUGUUCUUCAUUAGCAAAACAGACAUUACGUUUCUCUUUUACACUCCAGCUCUACAUGUAACCUUGUCAAUCGACCCAGUUGUGCUACCCAAAUGCUAAUCUCAGCACCCAGUACAGAACCAAAUGUUGCGUGUGCACUGGCCAGUAACAGUCUAUCACAGGGAUGAGCAACUUUGAUGGGGGUGGGGGGCCACAAAAAAUCUGAACUCAUCAUGAGUGCUUCCCUCACCACCACAUUGCAAGCCAAACAUUUUAUUGGCAAUCUUGACAAUUUUUAAAAAAGGGUUAAUUUUGUGCAAUUCUACACAUUUGGGGUGUAGAUCAAAUGUCACAGCUUUAAAGCAAGUUUUCUAUGGAAGGAAGAGAAAUGUUUGCAGUUUUUAAUAUGAUACACUAUAUAUACAAAAGUAUGUGGACACCGCUUCAAAUUAGUGGAUAUGGCUAUUUCAGCCACACCCGUUGCUGACAGGUGUAUGAAAUCGAGCACACAGAGUGCAGAGUGCUGUCCUUGUCUGUCCUCGGUUGCAACACUCACUACUGUGUUCCAAACUGCCUCUCAAAGCAACAUCAGCACAAUAACUGUUUGUUGGGAGCUUCAUGAAAUAGAUCACCAUGCGCAAUGCCAAGCAUCGGCUCAACUACAUUGAACACCAUUGGGAUGAAUUGGAAGGCCAACUGCGGGCCAGACCUAACCGCCCAACAUCAGCGCCCGACCUCAUUAAUGCUCUUGUGGCUGAAUGGAAGCAAGUCCCUGCAGCAAUGUUCCAACAUCUAGUGGAAAGCCUUCCCAGAAGAGUGGAGGCUGUUAUUACAGCAAAGUGGGGACCAACUCCAUAUUUAUGCCCAUGAUUUUGGAAUGAGAUGUUUGACGAGCAAGUGUCCACAUACUUUUGGUCAUUUAGUGUAUCAGAGUGAGACUGAUAACAAGCUUAGAUAGUUUAGCGGCGAGCUAACUUAUCGAUCUAAAAAAUAUUGACUGACAUAAAAAGAGAAACUGCUGAUGCACAACCAAAUUUCAAAAUUGCACCUUGUGUAUUCUACUAUUCUAACUCUCAACAGUAAGUUGAGACCCCCCCUUCCCAUCCCUGGUUUAUCACAAUAGACUACCCAAAUGCAUACCAGGUUUUGGCUCAAUUUGUUUUACCACAAACAAAUUGUCUCAAAACAUUGGACUCAGAUGCAGAUUUGUUAUCGGGUAUGACCCAGUUACAGAUCAUAACAAAAUAUGAAUAUGCCUGUAUGUAAAUAUGAAAUGAUCCAAUACUAACACUCCUUUAAUGCAGGGUCCUCUGGAGCCUCAUCAUCAACCUUGACAGUGACUCCAAUGAAGGCAACCACCAGGAAUACCCCAACAUUGUCUGUCACCAUCCCCACAGUGGCCCCUGCCAUGCCAACCAGUAGGACAAGUUCAUCAGUCAGUGAAGCACCUAAUACAGAUCCUACUGGUGACACUAGAGUCCCAAUGGAAUCAUCAACUUCAUCACCUGCAACUGAGCCUUCCCAAUACUCUCAGCCACUAACUCCAUCACAAUCAUCCAAUGGCAGCACCACCACACAAACCUCUACAGGUUUUACAGCUGACACUACUAUGAAUCAGACCCUAACUGGAAUAGUUGGUUAUGACUCAACAUCCUCAAUCUUCUCAUCAACUUUGUCGCCAAGCUCUGAUUUUACGACAGGGAACAUGAGCUCAAGCACAGAAAGUGAUGGGAGACAUGUCUUAUCAAGGAGUCCGGGCCUCGUAGCAGUCCUCUGCAUAUUCUGCAUCUGUCUGGGUCUUCUGCUGGCCGUUGGAAUUGCAAAGCUCAUUACUCCCAGAGGUUCAACAUUUCAGAGGCUUGAAGAUGUGCCAUUGGGCAAAAUAAAUGAAGAGUCUCCAUUUGCCCGUUACCCUGAAAAACAAUUCUGAAAGAAAACACAUCAUGAGAGAAGGUAUUCUAUUUGGGGUUCAGACAGUGUUGUUCAUGAGGACGUGUCACCCACCAUCAUGUUUAUGUUCCUGUUUUUGUUUGUUUAAUUUGUCUGGCUGCUGGAAAGUGACGUGUGUUUGAAGGAAGUCAGUAUAGGCACUAAAAGCAAUCCUGUGAUGUGGUAAAGAAUAUCUCCUCCCAGGUUGGUCAGCAGCAUACUGAAGUCGAUCGUUGGUACUGUUCAUUCACAGGUGGAUGGAUGCAUCAAGGAACUGAAUACAGAAGAUGCACAGACAAUGUCUGCGUUUACACAGGUAGCCCAAUUCUGAUCUUUUGCCAAAUUUUUAGCGAAAGAUCUGAUUUGUCAAAAAUACCAAUUAUUGGCACAAUAUCAGAAUUGGUCUGCCUUUAUAAACACAGCCAAUGUGUCAGGUAUCACUAGAAAUAAAGCUAUGAAAAAAGCUAUAAUAAAGCCAAAUUCUCUGUUUCUUGAAAAGACUAUGACAAACAGGCCUAAUUUUUGUAUGGGUUGAAAUAAAUAAAUGAUUGC
Molecule: long non-coding RNA, 3086 nt
Organism: Oncorhynchus tshawytscha (Chinook salmon)
Lineage: Eukaryota; Metazoa; Chordata; Actinopteri; Salmoniformes; Salmonidae
Source: Ensembl